CACUCCUGGGGAUCCGCCUCGACGCCUUCUUCUUUACCUGAGCAUAGAUUGCACUAAAGGCAACCUGGUGUUUUGUGAAAGCAAGGGUGAGUACACAUCAACGUACUCAGCAAAUGUCCCGUUUGGCUGAGGUGGACUAGCUUUAUGUGGAGUUAAGCUCAAGCAGUUGCUUUUAGUUAGUCAGAUAUUUAUUAUUAGUGGAAGCCAAGUUUUAGUAAUAGCCAACCCGUGAACAGCUUCCUCCUCGAGGAACAUCAUGAUCAUCAUCGAACCAAAAACAUUAAUAGAACCAUUGAGUCUCAAACCAGCUGUAUCUCUAAUCCAAGAGGAUCCCAAGGCCGCUCAUAACCGUGAGCACGGCUGAUAUAUCAGUUUCUAACCCUCUGCAGAGGUCGCACACUUUACCCAUGAGCCGUGAUUCCUGUUUUGCCCGGGGAUCAUGACUCCCCAUUGAUCACUUCCUAGGUGGUCCGAAAGAACCUCGGCACUCAGCCUCGGCAGAGCAAGCACUGUGCCUGGACCCCAUUGAUGGCACGACGGUGAAGCAACUACACCUCUAGUUCCUCUAAUUAAUUAGCUAAGGGCAUCUCAUUUCACCCUCAUGGUUGCACUGUUAUCCCGAGUGGUCUCUCAACGAACAGGUCCUUACGGAGAGGUACUCGGGAAACAGUCCGAGUCCCCUUAAAUGCCACAAGUAUAUCAUCAUAUCCAGAAUAAAAUCAUAGUAUCAUCAUUAUAUCUCAUCAUGUUCAUUGAUUAAAGUAAAGCGCUAGCAUGUAGCUAACCAUAGUAAACCAAAAGGUAAAUCAAGGACAAGGUAAAUAGAAAGCUAGUAAAUCCUUAGGUUGUUCAUAGUAUGCGAGACAGUGAAUUAUAAAGUAAAUGGGACAUAAUGGGUCAGAGGACACUUGCCUUCACCGAAUAGAUGCUCAGGGUCUUCAGCCUCGUAGAACUCGAAGAGUUCGAUCACUUGGUCGCCAAAGCUUGACCGUCGAUUCCUCGAAGCUCGAAAAUGGAUCGCAGUCUAUUCGCGACGCGAAGCGAAGACGAACAAGCACCAGCAAACAAACAUAUACAUAUGCAUAAGAACAUUACACCAUACAAAGGAAAACAUAAUCAAAACAUGCAAUACGAAAUAGAGCGCGUUACUACAGUCACGCGAGGAAAAAGAAACGCGACGGUCGAGGCUACGGUCGAGAAGUUAUCGCGUCCAUACUAAGCGAGUAUUAAUCAUAACAUUUAGUUUGAUCUAAUUAUAUUAAUCAAUAUUUAUUAAAAUAAAAGUAGAGCUGUUGCGCAAUUUUAAUUAGCUGACGACACUAACGAUUCUUAGUUAAAUAAGUAAUUUAAAUAACAACAGCGACUCUAAGCAGAACAAAUUAGCGGAGCGAGACGAAACAUGUAACGCAUGAAACAUCACGACAGCGUGCAAACGACGCGCGGACACGCGCGACAUAGCACGCCGACGAUACACGAACAGCACGCGCAACGAGCGUGAACGAAGCGUGAACCAGCACGCCGCCAUAUGCUGAACAACACGCGCGAUAGGCGAGAAAGCUAAAUCGGUGACAUGUUUAUACUAAACAAGUCUUAAUUAGAAUAUUAGUCCGACACAAUUAUAAUUACAUGAAUUGACAUUAUCAUAUCAAAUAUAAAAAAACUAAUAUUUAGCUUUGACUAACUUACUAUUUUACUAGUGGACGAUUAAACAAAUAGUUAACUAAUUGACCUUAGUGAUUAAAAUCAAACGACUUUAAUAUCGCGCGCGGGCAGCGCGCGACAUGCGAAACAACACGUGCGACAACACGAGAGUAACGAAUGAAGUAUACACGAGAGUAACGAAUGAAGUAUACACACGAACAACAAGGCGACGACGAGUGCCACACGUGGGAAUAGUGCGCGCAUCACGUGUGAAGGAGCACACGGAAAGCGCGCACGACUACGUAUGACCAUGAGCAAAUGACGCGUGACGGUGUACGCGAACAGCACGCGACAACACGCGAACGUCGUGCGCGACAGCACUCGCGACACGCGAGAAUCACUAACAAAUAUCAUGUUUAUUGUAAACGAGUAUAAAUUUAGAGCAUGCGAGUUGGCAUUAACCACAUUACUAUGUGUUUAUAAAAACACAAAUAAAACUAUAAAAUUAUUUUUAUGUAAAUUGCUAUUCUAAUAAAUAUCGGAUGAACAAUUAAUUAACUAAUUAAUUAAAACUUGUGUCGUGACAAAAUAAUGUUACUAAUAUAUUGACGAUAUUAUUAUUAAGCUAACGAGAUGAAAUGAAUCAAAACUGGAUCGUAACACAUAAUAUAUUGAAUAACUAAUAGCUCAUAUAUUAAUUACGAAGUGGCGCACGUGAUUGGUCGAAGCUAAAUCACAUAAAGGGCCACGGAGUUUGCAGCCAUGGAAGAUCAUCCUGAGGGAGUUUUGUAUUGGAUGUAGGGAAUUGUGCGUGCAGGAGGGGUGCAUGGCUGCAUGCACAUGCAUGUGUGGGGCUCAAGUAGUUUUCCUUAAACGCACGCCAAAGGGAUAAACACCAUGCAUGUGGGUCCCACCGGUAGCUUUUUCUCCCUCCUUUCUCUACACAACUCACACACGACACGAGUGGAGUAGUGGGUGAGUGCCGAGUGGUUACCUUUCUUCCUCACCGCUCACGCACAUGCGGGCAGGAAGCCGACCAUGGCGCUGGGUGCUCGAUGAGAAGGUGCAUAGGGGCUGGUCAGGCAGGCUUGCCGGAACGCGGACUGAAUGGCAAGGCAGCGCGCAGGGGAGCUCAGGGGCCACGGCUGAUCGGCCGGCGAGCAGCAGCACUCGCUAGGCGCGAGGUUAAGGGUGACCAGGCUGGGAGCGGCUGGGCGCGACGGGGACUCGGCCACGGCCUUGCUGGGCCUUCGUGGGAGGGGCUGGACGCAGCUCGCACCGAAGCUUGGCGCGGCGGUUCGUCUACGGUCGCGACGCAGCGCGCGUGAGCUGGACGGGCAUGGCUAGCGCGCGGGCGUUGAGGAAAGCAAGGCAAGGUGCCCCAUACUCCGAGGACAGGAUCGGAUCGAAGAAUUUUGCCGAGCACGGGCAACAAAGAGGAAAGGGGUGCACCUGGUGAUUCGAUUCCUGUGGCGUUGUUUUGGUGUAGGAGAUGAAACCGCCUCAGGUGAUGUCGUCGCCCUCGAGCCUCGGCUGCUUGGAUGGGCGCUCCUCUGGUGACGACGCAACACAGGGAAGGAAGGACGCAGGGGCGUGGGGUGCUGCUGCGUGGGAAGAAGAGAGAGCGGGUCGCGGCGGUGGGUGUGUGUAUGUAUAGGAAGGAGAGGGUGCGGGAGGUGGUUGUCAAUUUACCGUGGCUCUCGUCCCGGCCGAGCCAGAGAGACAGUUGCUCGCAAAGAUGCACAAGAUGGGGUUAGAUAGAGUUAGGCAGGGGAGGGGAUAGACGGAAGCUGACGGAAUUAUACAAAGUUAGAUAGAGCUGACCACAGGUCCAGUGUGACAACGAGAAGAACAUGAUCAACGAGAGAAAUCAAUAUAUAUAUAUAUAUAUAUUAUCGAGUUUUUGAAAUAAUUUAGUUUUCGCAAUUACGAAAUUUUAAUAAUUAAAAUAAUAUUAGAAAAACUGAAAUUUAUAUUUAAUACUCGAAGAAACGUUCCGAGGAUUCUAAAUUCUCUUGGGAACAUCCUCGAGAUAUUUUAACAUGUCCUGAUAACAAUCCACACUCAUAAACACUAUGUGACGGCAUGAAUGCAGCAAUCGAAACUCCUCUAGGAUUUUAUUUUACUACACUAAAAACUUGUAUAUAUAAUAAAAUAACUCUCUAUUAUUUAGAAAAAAAGAAAAGAAAAGUAAGGAAAAGAGAGGGUAACAUCUGAAUUUGGUGGAUAUUAGAAAAGAAAUUUUAUACCCCCAAAUUCAGGGUGUUACAAAUCUAACCCCCUUAAUAAGAAUCUCGCCCCUGAGAUUCAAGAAGAAGCUAGCAAGAAAACAAGGUUGGUUCAUAGAUUGUUUACAGCUUCCUCGGCUCAACUUUGACUCUGGCAACUUUAACUUGCGGAUUGGUUGUUUUGACCUUUAGAUACUCGAGACCAAUUAAUAUUAUUCUUGAGGAUCCCUUGGACCUGUGGGUUAGGACCCACACACGCUUUCGCUGCGCCACUUCAAUCUUGUCGGUUGAUGCUGAUCACAUUGUCUUCAUUAGGGUUAGCGGCUAACCCCCUUAACAGGAGCAUUGAUACGCACUUAGUGAAGAUGUUGCCGACCCUAAUCUUGACUGAUUAAAAGAGGUUGUAGGAUGCCACCCGGACAGGUGCAAGAGGAAAGGGUAUAGAUAGAAAAGGUAAGCAUAGACGGAUUAGAGAGAGCAAGGGGAAAACCCAAUUACUUAACUAUAUGACACACACCUAGUAAACUAAUGUCAUUGCGGACUAAGGGCCACAACACAUCAACACUCAUCACAAAGAAGCAAAUCAGUCAUAACACAAGGACAAACAUCGCAAGCAUACAUCAACAAACAUCUCGUUGCUAUACGUUCCUUUUAAUUAAAUGGUGGUCUUUCUUGAAAAGGGGAAUAACUACCCUCUAAGGUUGUUGAAGGGCAAGGGGAAAAACAAGACGUGUAGGAUAGGGAUACGAGCACAAUAAGGGAUGUAGUUAAAGCAGGGAUUGUAAACGACUAGGAAAAGGAUUCGACCAAGGGCAUAAUGGGUAGAACACUACUCUCGAGUUAAGAUGGAAGGUGGGAGAUUCCAAAAAGCAGACCUAAGAUAAGCAUCAAGGCAAGAUCUAGUGAUUACGAAGGUAAGAGUGAUAUCAAACAAAAGCUAGGACCUGCAAUGCGGCAGAGGAAAAGGGAACGACCAAAAGCGGGAUGGGUAAGACAACACUAUUCAACCGAGACAGGAGAGGAGACUUUAAAAUGCAGAUACGAGAUAAGUAUCAAGGUAAAGGUCAAGGGAUGACAAGGGUUAAGGUGAUAACGGACAAACACACAACAAAGAAUGUAUUUGAGACAAAACUUGCAAGGUGUCAAAGAAGGGGAAGCAGCUAAUGAUGAAGUAGGUGAGGCAUUAUCUCCGAACAGGGAUGGAAAAGAAGAGGCUUCAAAGGGUGGGUUCAAGGUAAGCAGGAAGGCAAGGGCAUUGAUAUCACGAGGGUUUUAAAGGUAAUAACGGACAAGGAUGUAGGAGAGGAGGUAAAUGUGCAUAAGAACCAAGAAUAUAAAUACCACAAAGAAUGGAGUUAAGACAAGACCUGCAAAUGGAAAAGGAGAGGGUACGUCCAUGGGCCACGUAGGUAAACUGCCACUCUCAAUUUGAGGUGGAAGAGCGGAGAUUUUUUUUUGAGUAUGAAUAAAGAUGAGUAUCAAGGCAAGAUCGAUGGAUGACAAGGUGAUGGUGAUAGAAAAUCAAAACACAGCAAAGUAUGGAAUUAAGACAACACUUGUAAGACGAAAAGAGGUGAAGAGAAAUCAAGGGAGAGGUAGGUAACUCGCAACUCUCAAACUGGGUUGAAAGAAGGGGAGGGUUUAAAGGAUAAGUUUAAGGUAAGCAUUUAGGUAGAAAACAUAAAUAUCGCAAGGGCCAAAGGCGAUAACGGACAAGGGUGUAAGAGAAAAGAUAAAGGCAUAGAAGAGCAAGUGGUACAAAUACAAUAACGAAUGGAGUUAAGUCUGGGCCUACACGCGGUAAAGAAGAGGAUAUAGUCAAGGGUGAGAUAAGUAAGAGACCACGCUUCAACUAAGGUGGGAGAUUGGAGGUUUUAGAUAACGAACAUAACAUAAUCGCUAAGGUGAGAUUAAGAGAUGAGAAGGGUAAAGGCAAUAAGAAACCAAAGCACAGCAAGGAUGAGGUUACAAACUCGCGAGAUACUACAGGUGUGCAAAAUAAAAUGAUCACUCAUGGAUCAUUAGGAAACAAGGGUGGUCAAGGGCGUGUUAACUGAAAUAUUUCAAACAGACAUUGGGACAUAAAGGUAAGCAUAUAUAAAAAAUAAGAGUAUGCAAGAUUCCAAUGGUACGAGCAUACCAAGACCAAGAAAGUACAAAUUGCCAAAAAGAUAGCGACUUAUCAAUGGAAUAGGUAAGAGUCUCAAAAGACAAUAAGAUCAUGGACAUAUAAACUGAAAUGUUUAAAUAGGCAGUAGAGGUACAAGGGCAAGUGCUUUAGAUUAAGGGAUAAGGGUAUUAAAAAUGCAAGGACACGAGCAUGUCAAUAACAAAAUGGAAUAGAGAUGGUCAAAUAGUAGCAAUUUAAUAAUGGAUGAGGAAAGAGUCCCAAAAGACUAAAGGCUAUGGUCAGGGGGCAUCUACAAAGAUGUCACAAGCACAAGAUGAGAUCAGAUCUAAUAGAUUGAGAGAAGUAUAGAUCAUACUAGAAUAAAAUACUUUUUGGCAAGGGGGCAUAUAGGAGAACAACAUAGAAUUAGUCGAGGUGACUAAUAUUUUGAGGCAAAAUCAAGGAUGAGAUGAAGUAAUAAUCAAUAAGUCCUUAAAACAGCCAAUGCUACUCUAGGUCAGCGGUCCUACAGUCAGCACGGCUUUGAUACCACUUAUGUCACACCCGGUUUUGAAGGUAAACCGAAUGCGAACCAUGUACUUGCCAGGAUAAGAAAUUCACGUACACAGCGAUUACAUAAAUGACUCAUCAUAGCACAAUGCUUCGAAUAACAAUAAAAAGUAAGUAAUAAUAUUACAGACUAGAGCCAUUUACAUAAUAUAAAUCAAAGUACACAGAAUCGAAACGUAGCCAACGUAAACAAACCCACCACAGGCAACUGACUGGGGGAGGUCGCUAGCCUAAACCACGAACUCGCUGAAGUCCUAGCACUCCUGGGGAUCCGCCUCGACACCUUCUUCUUUACCUGAGCAUAGAUUGCACUAAAGGCAACCUGGUGUUUUGUGAAAGCAAGGGUGAGUACACAUCAACGUAUUCAGCAAAUUUCCCGUUUGGCUGAGGUGGACUAGCUUUAUGUGGAGUUAAGCUCAAGCAGUUGCUUUUAGUUGGUCAGAUAUUUAUUAUUAGUAGAAGCCAAGUUUUAGUAAUAGCCAACCCGUGAACAGCUUCCUCCUCGAGGAACAUCAUGAUCAUCAUCGAACCAAAAACAUUAAUAGAACCAUUGAGUCUCAAACCAGCUGUAUCUCUAAUCAAAGAGGAUCCCAAGGCUGCUCAUAACCGUGAGCACGGCUGAUAUAUCAGUUUCUAACCCUCUGCAGAGGUCGCACACUUUACCCAUGAGCCGUGAUUCCCGUUUUGCCCGGGGAUCAUGACUCCCCAUUGAUCACUUCCUAGGUGGUCCGGCAGGGUAUCACUACGUAGCCUUUAAAAAGAUUCCCUAGAGGUCAUAGCUACCAGUUUGGUUUCUCCAGUUUGAUAAACACAGUACCUCUCCCCGCAGGAGGGUGACUAACAAAAGCAAAACGAAAGAACCUCGGCACUCAGCCUCGGCAGAGCAAGCACUGUGCCUGGACCCCAUUGAUGGCACGACGGCGAAGCAACUACACCUCUAGUUUCCUCUAAUUAAUUAGCUAAGGGCAUCCCAUUUCACCCUCAUGGUUGCACUGUUAUCCCGGGUGGUCUCUCAACGAACAGGUCCUUACGGAGAGGUACUCGGGAAACAGUCCGAGUCCCCUUAAAUGCCACAAGUAUAUCAUCAUAUCCAGAAUAAAAUCAUAGUAUCAUCAUUGUAUCUUAUCAUGUUCAUUGAUUAAAGUAAAGCGCUAGCAUGUAGCUAACCAUAGUAAACCAAAAGGUAAAUCAAGGACAAGGUAAAUAGAAAGCUAGUAAAUCCUUAGGUUGUUCAUAGUAUGCGGGACAGUGAAUUAUAAAGUAAAUGGGACAUAAUGGGUCAGAGGACACUUGCCUUCACCGAAUAGAUGCUCAGGGUCUUCAGCCUCGUAGAACUCGAAGAGUUCGAUCACUUGGUCGCGAAAGCUUGACCGUCGAUUCCUCGAAGCUCGAAAAUGGAUCGCUGUCUAUUCGCGACGCGAAGCGAAGACGAACAAGCACCAGCAAACAAACAUAUACAUAUGCAUAAGAACAUUACACCAUACAAAGGAAAACAUAAUCAAAACAUGCAAUACGAAAUAGAGCGCGUUACUACAGUCACGCGAGGAAAAAGAAACGCGACGGUCGAGGCUACGGUCGAGAAGUUAUCGCGUCCAUACUAAGCGAGUAUUAAUCAUAACAUUUAGUUUGAUCUAAUUAUAUUAAUCAAUAUUUAUUAAAAUAAAACUAGAGCUGUUGCGCAAUUUUAAUUAGCUGACCACACUAACGAUUUUUAGUUAAAUAAGUAAUUUAAAUAACAACAGCGACUCUAAGCAGAAUUAAUUAGCGGAGCGAGACGAAACACGUAACGCGUGAAACAUCACGACAGCGUGCAAACGACGCGCGGACACGCGCGACAUAGCACGCCGACGAUACACGAACAGCACGCGCAACGAGCGUGAACGAAGCGUGAACCAGCACGCCGCCAUAUGCUGAACAACACGCGCGAUAGGCGAGAAAGCUAAAUCGGUGACAUGUUUAUACUAAACAAGUCUUAAUUAGAAUAUUAGUCCGACACAAUUAUAAUUACAUGAAUUGACAUUAUCAUAUCAAAUAUAAAAAACUAAUAUUUAGCUUUGACUAACUUACUAUUUUACUAGUGGACGAUUAAACAAAUAGUUAACUAAUUGACCUUAGUGAUUAAAAUCGAACGACUUUAAUAUCGCGCGCGGGCAGCGCGCGACAUGCGAAACAACACGUGCGACAACACGAGAGUAACGAAUGAAGUAUACACACGAGCAACAAGGCGACGGCGAGCGCCACACGUGGGAAUAGUGCGCGCAUCACGUGUGAAGGAGCACACGGAAAGCGCGCACGACCACGUAUGACCAUGAGCAAAUGACGCGUGACGGUGUACGCGAACAACACGCGACAACGCGUGAACGUCGUGCGUGACAGCACUCGCGACACGCGAGAAUCACUAACAAAUAUCAUGUUUGUUGUAAACAAGUAUAAAUUUAGAGCAUGCGAGUUGGCAUUAACCACAUUACUAUGUGUUUAUAAAAACACAAUCUAUAAAAUUAUUUUUAUGUAAAUUGCUAUUCUAAUAAAUAUCGGAUGAACAAUUAAUUAACUAAUUAAUUAAAACUUGUGUCAUGACAAAAUAAUGUUACUAAUAUAUUGACGAUAUUAUUAUUAAGCUAACGAGAUGAAAUGAAUCAAAACUGGAUCGUAACACAGAAUAUAUUGAAUAACUAAUAGCUCAUAUAUUAAUUACGAAGUGGCGCACGUGAUUGGUCGAAGCUAAAUCACAUAAAGGGCCACGAAGUUUGCAGCCAUGGAAGAUCAUCCUGAGGGAGUUUUGUAUUGGAUGUAGGGAAUUGUGCGUGCAGGAGGGGUGCAUGGCUGCAUGCACAUGCAUGUGUGGGGUUCAAGUAGUUUUUCUUAAACGCACGCCAAAGGGAUAAACACCAUGCAUGUGGGUCCCACCGGUAGCAUUUUCUCCCUCCUUUCUCUGCACAACUCACGCACGACACGAGUGGAGUAGUGGGUGAGUGACGAGUGGUUACCUUUCUUCCUCACCGCUCACGCACAUGCGGGCAGGAAGCCGACCAUGGCGCUGGGUGCUCGACGAGAAGGUGCAUAGGGGCUGGUCAGGCAGGCUUGCCGGAACGCGGACUGAAUGGCAAGGCAGCGCGCAGGGGAGCUCAGGGGCCACGGCUGAUCGGCCGGCGAGCAGCCGGCGAGCAGCAGCACUCGCUAGGCGCGAGGUUAAGGGUGACCGAGCUGGGAGCGGUUGGGCGCGACGGGGACUCGGCCACGGCCUUGCUGGGCGCUCGCGGGAGGGGCUGGACGCAACUCGCACCGAAGCUUGGUGCGGCGGUUCGUCUACGGUCGCGACGCAGCGCGCGUGAGCUGGACGGGCAUGGCUAGCGCGCGGGCGUUGAGGAAAGCAAGGCAAGGUGCCCCAUACUCCGAGGACAGGAUCGGAUCGAAGAAUUUUGCCGAGCACGGGCAACAAAGAGGAAAGGGGUGCACCUGGUGAUUCGAUUCCUGUGGCGUUGUUUUGGUGUAGGAGAUGAAACCGCCUCAGGUGAUGUCGUCGCCCUCGAGCCUCGGCUGCUUGGAUGUGCGCUCCUCUGGUGACGACGCAACACAGGGAAGGAAGGACGCAGGGGCGUGGGGUGCUGCUGCGUGGGAAGAAGAGAGAGCGGGUCGCGGUGGUGGGUGUGUGUAUGUAUAGGAAGGAGAGGGUGCAGGAGGUGGUUGUCAAUUUACC
Molecule: long non-coding RNA, 10246 nt
Filed under: Zea mays
Lineage: Eukaryota; Viridiplantae; Streptophyta; Magnoliopsida; Poales; Poaceae
Description: long non-coding RNA (ZMAY_LNC003208)
Source: RNAcentral